GAUGAGAUGGCUGAGUGGUUAAGGCAAAAGGCUGUUAAUCCUUUCUCCUCAGCAUGCAUGGGUUCAAAGCCCAUCCUUAUUG
Molecule: transfer RNA, 82 nt
Filed under: Perca fluviatilis (European perch)
Lineage: Eukaryota; Metazoa; Chordata; Actinopteri; Perciformes; Percidae
Rfam family: tRNA
About the family: Transfer RNA (tRNA) molecules are approximately 80 nucleotides in length. Their secondary structure includes four short double-helical elements and three loops (D, anti-codon, and T loops).
Source: Rfam by way of RNAcentral